Molecule: microRNA precursor, 74 nt
Filed under: Myotis davidii
Lineage: Eukaryota; Metazoa; Chordata; Mammalia; Chiroptera; Vespertilionidae
Description: mir-9193 microRNA precursor family
Rfam family: mir-9193 microRNA precursor family
Source: Rfam by way of RNAcentral
ACUCGAGGGAGGGGGUCCCUCAGUCCAAAUUGCGAGAGGGUGCAGGCCAGGCUGAGGGACCCCAUUGGUGAAGA